UGCCAGCAGCCGCGGUAAUACGUAUGUCGCAAGCGUUAUCCGGAUUUAUUGGGCGUAAAGCGCGUCUAGGCGGUCUGGUAAGUCUGAUGUGGAAAUGCGGGGCUCAACUCCGUAUUGCGUUGGAAACUGCCAGACUAGAGUACUGGAGAGGUGGGCGGAACUACAAGUGUAGAGGUGAAAUUCGUAGAUAUUUGUAGGAAUGCCGAUAGAGAAGUCAGCUCACUGGACAGAUACUGACGCUGAAGCGCGAAAGCAUGGGGAGCAAACAGGAUUAGAUA
Molecule: ribosomal RNA, 278 nt
Filed under: uncultured bacterium
Lineage: Bacteria
Description: partial 16S ribosomal RNA
Rfam family: Bacterial small subunit ribosomal RNA
Source: RNAcentral